CUAACCCAAAAUGGAAAUAGCACGAUCAUUAUUGACUUGUUCGGGUUGUGAUGAAGAAGAACCCUACCUGCUUUAUUGCAUGCUCAGCAGUGGCAUAACUUCAUUGCACGUUUCCAACAAUGGAUGCCACUGAGGGCAAUGCGCGCAUACUCAAUUUGGUGUUUCUGCUUCCCCGUCAAAACGUACCUCCAUUCUCUAAUGUCUUUUGCGUUUUGAUUAUCGGACCGUUGAGGUUUCACCAGGAAUCCAGGACUUCUGCUGAUGCAAAAGGUUGACAGUUGAUGAGAAAAUCAGCAUGAAUUCCAGGGGGGCUAAUGACAGUUGUUUGACUUAUCUGAUUGGGAUGAGUAAUUGAGGUAACAGUCAACUUUUGUUCUUCAAUUUUCCAUCAACAAUUAAUAAUUUGCAUAUUCAGAUGCCCAUUUCUGGAUUAAUAUACUAUAUUUCUUAGCACCCUAGUUCUAGUCAUAUAAGGUAACACUCGAUCAGAAGGAAAGGAAGCACCACUGCCAAAUAAACACUCUGUCCUAGGUUUAGAAAAUUAGAAAAAAAGAAGAAGAUAAAACAAGAUGCGCCGCUUCGAGUAAUCUUUUCCCCUCUUCCUUUCCUUCUUGUUCUUCACCCAGACUGGACUCUCCAUUUGAAUCCGAAAGUAGGAACCAAUGAGUUCUUCUUCGUCUAACCAAGUGGCCAAGUUUCAAAUGUAAAAGACAACACUGUUUUGGCAACAAAGUGAAUUUGGAUGCAUCGAUGCGUCCAAAUGAACAAACUAUGUUUCUGACCUCAUAAUGCCAACAUUGAAGCAGGAUACCUGACUUUUACGACACACAAUCAAUUGAAGAUAUACAGUGAAUUUUCUAUUUUUAUUUUUAUUAUUAUUAUUAUUGUUAAGAAAAAUAAGGUUGAUGAUAUUUUGUAACUCGUUAAUUUGAAUUAUAUACUUUAAUGAUGUGUUUACUUUUUUUUAGGCUAAGAAAGUGAAGAAAGCUCUUCAGCCGGAGUGGCUUAAGUCUCUUCUGAAAAGGACUUUCUUUGAAUCUUCCUGUGCAACUCAUCCUGUGCUUAAGAAUGAGUUAAACCAAUACUGUGUAACCUGUACUGAGCUAAUUUGCCAAAAUUGUGCAUCUGGACCCAAACAUGUUCUUCAUAAGGUGAUCACAAUCUACAAGCAUAGUUACAAAGCUGUUGUUCGCAUUGAUGCUAUGAGAGAGCAUAUUGACUGCUCACAAAUUCAGCCUUACAAAUCCAAUAAGCUUUCCGUUAUUGCUCUGGAGCCUCUUCCGCACCAUGGUUCUGUAAAAUGGAGAAGGGCAUCAUCAUGCAAGACCUGUAGGAGAAAGUUGGCCAACCCCAAUUUAUAUCGUUACUGCUCCAUAUCUUGCAAGGUGCUGAGAGUAAAGUAGUAAACUUAGCAUCAUCCACAAUCUUGAUUUCCCAUCCCCUAACACCUUCCAUUAAAUUCGCGAUUUGAAUUAUCACUCUCUGACUAUUUAAUCUGAUAUCUCAGGUCCAAGCUGUUUUAACCUUCAUUUUGCUUAAGGAGGAUCAAAAGGAGGAAGCUGGAACCAGCAAGCGGGUAAAUAAGAGAAAGGGAACCCCUGCCAGAGCUCCCUUCUUCUAAAGGCCUCCGGUUAUGUAAUAAUCAAGGAAGCUGCUCUAUUUCUUAUGUAAAGAGAUUCUUUAACAUCUGAAUUUUCGUCUUUGGUGGCUUCUACCUUUUGAUUAUCAUAUGACUAUGCAUGAGGUUACUUCAAACUUGAUGACAUUCUGGCUAAGUUGCUGUUUGUGGUUUUAUGACAUUCUA
Arachis duranensis is the source of this 1804-nucleotide RNA transcript. It is a transcript of the gene named protein RGF1 INDUCIBLE TRANSCRIPTION FACTOR 1-like, with no coding region annotated. The record is from RefSeq and is a predicted model, not a curated record. Lineage: Eukaryota; Viridiplantae; Streptophyta; Magnoliopsida; Fabales; Fabaceae. The transcript is spliced from 5 exons.